CCUACGGGGGGCCGCAGUGAGGAAUAUUGGUCAAUGGGCGCGAGCCUGAACCAGCCAAGUCGCGUGAGGGAAGACGGUCCUAUGGAUUGUAACCCUCUUUUGUCGGGGAGCAAAAGACGCCACGCGUGGCGUUCCGAGAGUACCCGAAGAAAACGCAUCGGCUAACUCCGUGCCAGCAGCCGCGGUAAUACGGAGGAUGCGAGCGUUAUCCGGAUUUAUUGGGUUUAAAGGGUGCGCAGGCGGAAGAUCAAGUCAGCGUUAAAAUUGAGAGGCUCAACCUCUUAGAGCCGUUGAAACUGGUUUUCUUGAGUGAGUGAGAAGUAGGCGGAAUGCGUGGUGUAGCGGUGAAAUGCAUAGAUAGCACGCAGAACUCCGAUUGCGAAGGCAGCAUACCGGCGCUCAACUGACGCUCAUGCACGAAAGUGUGGGUAUCGAACAGGAUUAGAUACCCGGGUAGUC
This 459-nucleotide ribosomal RNA is filed under the name uncultured bacterium. RNAcentral describes it as "partial 16S ribosomal RNA". It matches the Rfam family "Bacterial small subunit ribosomal RNA", at positions 338 to 795 of the family's 1533-position model. The record is from RNAcentral.